AUGGUUAAGUUAGAAAGGGCGCACGGUGAAUGCCUUGGCACUAGGAGCCGAUGAAGGACGGGACUAACACCGAUAUGCUUCGGGGAGCUGUAAGUGAGCUUUGAUCCGGAGAUUUCCGAAUGGGGAAACCCACUGUUCGUAAUGGAACAGUAUCUUUAUCUGAAUACAUAGGAUAUUGAAGGCAGACCCGGGGAACUGAAACAUCUAAGUACCCGGAGGAAGAGAAAGCAAAUGCGAUUUCCUGAGUAGCGGCGAGCGAAACGGAAUUAGCCCAAACCAAGAGGCUUGCCUCUUGGGGUUGUAGGACACUCUAUACGGAGUUACAAAGGAACGAAGUAAAUGAAGCGACCUGGAAAGGUCCGUCGAAGAAGGUAACAACCCUGUAGUUGAAACUUCGUUCCCUCUUGAGUGGAUCCUGAGUACGGCGGAACACGUGAAAUUCCGUCGGAAGCUGGGAGGACCAUCUCCCAAGGCUAAAUACUACCUAGUGACCGAUAGUGAACCAGUACCGUGAGGGAAAGGUGAAAAGCACCCCGGAAGGGGAGUGAAAGAGAUCCUGAAACCGUGUGCCUACAAGUAGUCAGAGCCCGUUAACGGGUGAUGGCGUGCCUUUUGUAGAAUGAACCGGCGAGUUACGAUCCCAUGCAAGGUUAAGCUGAUAAGGCGGAGCCGUAGCGAAAGCGAGUCUGAAUAGGGCGUUUAGUAUGUGGUUGUAGACCCGAAACCAGGUGAUC
This 734-nucleotide ribosomal RNA is filed under the name Priestia megaterium. Its description in RNAcentral is "bacterial LSU rRNA". It matches the Rfam family "Bacterial large subunit ribosomal RNA", at positions 1 to 730 of the family's 2925-position model. Lineage: Bacteria; Bacillati; Bacillota; Bacilli; Caryophanales; Bacillaceae. The record is from RNAcentral.